CCUACGGUGAGCAGCAGUGAGGAAUAUUGGUCAAUGGACGCAAGUCUGAACCAGCAAUGCCGCGUGCAGGAAGACGGCUCUAUGAGUUGUAAACUGCUUUUGUACGAGGGUAAACGCAGAUACGCGUAUCUGUCUGAAAGUAUCGUACGAAUAAGGAUCGGCUAACUCCGUGCCAGCAGCCGCGGUAAUACGGAGGAUUAAAGCGUUGACCGGAUUUAUUGGGUUUAAAGGGUGCGUAGGCGGUCGGAUAAGUUAGAGGUGAAAUCCCGAGGCUCAACCUCGGAAUUGCCUCUGAUACUGUUCGGCUAGAGAGGAGUUGCGGUAGGCAGAAUGUCUGGUGUAGCGGUGAAAUGCUUAGAGAUCAUACAGAACACCGAUUGCGAAGGCAGCUUACCAAGCUACUUCUGACGUUGAGGCACGAAAGCGUGGGGAGCAAACAGGAUUAGAUACCCGAGUAGUC
Molecule: ribosomal RNA, 460 nt
Filed under: uncultured bacterium
Lineage: Bacteria
Description: partial 16S ribosomal RNA
Rfam family: Bacterial small subunit ribosomal RNA
Source: RNAcentral